GUAGGGAAUAUUGGGCAAUGGAUGCAAGUCUGACCCAGCCAUCCCGCGUGCCGGAAGAAGGCCCUCAGGGUUGUAAACGGCUUUUGACGGUGAAGAAUCGACAGGAUGCGUCCUGUUUUGACGGUAGCCGUUGAAUAAGCACCGGCUAACUCCGUGCCAGCAGCCGCGGUAGUACGGAGGGUGCGAGCGUUGUCCGGAUUUAUUGGGUUUACAGGGUGCGUAGGCUGGCAGGUCAGUCAGCGGUGAAAAGCUGUCGCUUAACGAUAAGCUUGCCGCAGAUGCUUCCUUUCUUGGAUGAGGAGGAGGCCACUGGAACGGAUGGUGUAGCGGUGAAAUGCAUAGAUAUCAUCCAGAACACCGAUUGCGAAGGCAGGUGGCUGUACCUUAAUCGACGCUGAUGCACGAAAGCAUGGGGAGCAAACAGGAUUAGAAACCCCAGUAGUCC
RNAcentral lists this ribosomal RNA (445 nucleotides) under uncultured bacterium. RNAcentral describes it as "partial 16S ribosomal RNA". It matches the Rfam family "Bacterial small subunit ribosomal RNA", at positions 354 to 796 of the family's 1533-position model. The record is from RNAcentral.